Podarcis lilfordi (Lilford's wall lizard) is the source of this 73-nucleotide non-coding RNA. Lineage: Eukaryota; Metazoa; Chordata; Lepidosauria; Squamata; Lacertidae. The record is from the annotation of a GenBank genome assembly.
GCUGGGAUGGCUCAGUCAGUAGAACAUGAGGUUCUUAACCUCAGGGUCGUGGGUCUGAACCCCAUUUUGGGCA